RNAcentral lists this ribosomal RNA (501 nucleotides) under uncultured bacterium. RNAcentral describes it as "partial 16S ribosomal RNA". It matches the Rfam family "Bacterial small subunit ribosomal RNA", at positions 29 to 523 of the family's 1533-position model. The record is from RNAcentral.
AUUGAACGCUGGCGGCAUGCCUUACACAUGCAAGUCGAACGGCAGCACGGGUGCUUGCACCUGGUGGCGAGUGGCGAACGGGUGAGUAAUACAUCGGAACGUACCUUAUCGUGGGGGAUAACGCAGCGAAAGCUGUGCUAAUACCGCAUACGCCCUGAGGGGGAAAGCGGGGGAUCGAAAGACCUCGCGCGAUUAGAGCGGCCGAUGCCUGAUUAGCUUGUUGGUGGGGUAAAAGCCCACCAAGGCGACGAUCAGUAGCUGGUCUGAGAGGACGAUCAGCCACACUGGGACUGAGACACGGCCCAGACUCCUACGGGAGGCAGCAGUGGGGAAUUUUGGGCAAUGGGGGCAACCCUGAUCCAGCAAUGCCGCGUGAGUGAAGAAGGCCUUCGGGUUGUAGAGCUCUUUUGUCAGGGAAGAAACACCGGCUCUAACACAGUCCGGGAAUGACGGUACCUGAAGAAUAAGCACCGGCUAACUACGUGCCAGCCGCCGCAGUAA